This 26-nucleotide non-coding RNA is filed under the name Cricetulus griseus (Chinese hamster). Lineage: Eukaryota; Metazoa; Chordata; Mammalia; Rodentia; Cricetidae. The record is from RNAcentral.
UCCAUCCUGAGACUGUAGAUCUCAGU